GCUAUGCGCAAUUCGGGCAGGGUUCGAACCUGCAGCAGGUCGAGUCGAACGCAGUGAGACAACGUUGCCAGCGGCAACGACCCGCAGGGCGAGGCGCAGCCGACGUCAUCCUGCACGACCCACCA
Molecule: non-coding RNA, 125 nt
Organism: Erwinia tasmaniensis
Lineage: Bacteria; Pseudomonadati; Pseudomonadota; Gammaproteobacteria; Enterobacterales; Erwiniaceae
Source: Rfam